CACGUAGGGGGCGAGCGUUGUCCGGAUUUAUUGGGCGUAAAGAGCUCGUAGGCGGCUCAGUAAGUCGGGUGUGAAAACUCCAGGCUCAACCUGGAGACGCCACCUGAUACUGCUGUGGCUAGAGUCCGGUAGGGGAGCAUGGAAUUCCUGGUGUAGCGGUGAAAUGCGUAGAUAUCAAGAGGAACACCUGAGGUGAAGACGGGUUGCUGGGCUGACACUGACGCUGAGGCGCGAAAGCCAGGGGAGCAAACGGG
Molecule: ribosomal RNA, 254 nt
Filed under: uncultured bacterium
Lineage: Bacteria
Description: partial 16S ribosomal RNA
Rfam family: Bacterial small subunit ribosomal RNA
Source: RNAcentral